GCAGAGCGACACCUCGUCUUGAGUGCAUCACAUAUUUCCCUCACUCUUUGUCUCUCUCAACCGCUUAAUCCACACUUUUCGCUCUAUGCUCCCAAGCACACUCACAGCUGCUCUCGCUCUCUCUGGAUCACAUUGUUGAAGUUUUGAUGGAUUAAUUCUUUCCUCUGCAUCGCCGUUCAAGUUUUGCAUCGGACUGCAGUUGCUCGGCGAAAGCCAUAAAGGUACUUGAAGCAAGCUUCAGGGUGAGUUGCUGAGAGUCAGUUCGUAUUGGACUGGGCUAUUUUUCAUUGUUUCUCAGAUUGGAGGAUUUAAGAUCAGAGAAGUUUGGGAGGCAGACCCCUAAUCCUAAUGAAGUGUUGGAAUAAAUGAAGCUUCAAGUGGAACUUGCCCUUGCUUGCCUCUUUGGUUUUAUCUGGAUUCAGCAAGGCUUUUGUGAUGAACUUUCCACUACAUCAGGCUUAAAAAACUGGACAUGUACGUGUUCAUUGCCACAUCAAGGAAAUCAGAGUUAUGUUAAAUCUAACUGCUCUACAUCCUGUGAUUGCAAUAUAGCUGGAGGACCAAGUGGAGGUAUAUGGACAUGUGUAUGUGCUGCUGAUGGAUUUCCUAAAGUAGCUUCUGGCAGUCUUAAUACUACCUGUUUUACAUCCUGCAACUGCACUUCUGGAUCUCUUACAGAAAAUGGAGCUAGAAGAAAUCACCUCUCUGGAAAAGUUGUUGUGAUCAUUUUGCUACUAUGUGUCAUACUUGCAACACUCACCUUUCUUGCUUCCAUAACAUGCUAUGUCUAUCGAAAAGAUAAAUGCCCUAUCCAGCGGCCAAUAUUCUCUUCAGACAGAGAUACAAGUUACAACAGUGCUACUAACUUAAUAAGUCAUAAGGCAUCUUCAGUAUCAGAAAUCAAAUUCAGUAUUGAUUCGCCCAUUAAUGCUAUCUCAGGGUGUUUUCGCAGGGCUUCUUUAUUGUGUAGGAGCGAUUCAGAGAUUAUACAUGGCACCAUAUUCCGAUUUUUAUACUCUGACUUGGAUCAUGCAACAGAUAACUUCUCCAAUUCCAAUCUUAUAGGACUUGGUGGAAGCAGCUUUGUAUAUCGUGGCCAGCUUAGAGAUGGUAAAAUUGUGGCAAUUAAGCGACUUAAAGCUCAGGGAGGACCUGAUGCUGACUCUGUCUUUUCAAAAGAGGUUGAAGUGUUAUCAAGACUUCAUCACUGUCAUGUUGUACCCUUGCUUGGAUACUGCUCAGAAUUCCAAGGGAAACAUUCUGAGAGGUUGCUGGUCUUUGAAUACAUGCCUAAUGGUGACUUAAGGGAUUGUUUGGAUGGAGUUUUGGGGGAAAGCAUGAAGUGGGAAACUCGUGUUACAAUUGCAAUAGGAGCUGCAAGGGGCUUAGAAUAUCUCCAUGAAGCGGCUGCUCCAAGAAUUUUGCACAGAGAUGUCAAAUCCACAAAUAUCCUCCUGGAUGAAAACUGGAGAGCCAAAAUUACUGAUCUUGGUAUGGCUAAACGUUUAAAAGCUGAUGGUGUUCCCAGCAGUUCAAGUUCUCCCGCAAGAAUGCAGGGCACUUUUGGCUAUUUUGCACCAGAGUAUGCAAUGGUUGGGAGGGCCUCUCUCAUGUCAGAUGUUUUUAGUUUUGGUGUAGUUCUUCUUGAGCUUAUCACUGGUCGACAACCCAUCCAUAAAUCAACCAACAAAGGAGAAGAAAGCCUUGUCUUAUGGGCUACUCCUCGUUUGCAGGAAAGUAGGCUAGUAAUAUCAGAUUUGCCUGAUCCACGUUUGAAAGGUAAUUUCCCAGAAGAAGAGAUGCAGAUAAUGGCUUACCUAGCAAAGGAGUGCCUGCUGUUAGAUCCUGAUGCUCGCCCAACCAUGAGUGAGGUUGUACAAAUCCUCUCAACUAUUGCACCAGAUAAGUCUAGAAGGAGAAACAUCCCCAUAAAUUUUUUUCGGAUGUCUUCCUCGCGCAGCAUUAAAAAUGAGUCAUACAUUCAAAAACCAGACAGUCAAGUUGAAGGUCCUGUUAAUGCAGCAGAACUGAGACGAGAUAUGUCGGUUAAACAGUCAGCUCUGUGUUCUACGCCAUUGGAUGUUGAGGAUACUCCCUCUGUUGAACACAAUGCCAAGGGAGCAGAUCCUGUUUCAUCAGAGUAUAUGGAAAGACUGAUUCUCUUGACCUCAAAAGCUAGGAGUUGGCGUGCCACAGAUGAAGAAGCUGUGGACUUAAUGGAACCUCGGUUUGAAUCAUUCCACAUGGCAAAUAGAUCUCCUUGACAAACUAGCCAUAUAUGAAAGCAACUGUUAUGAUCUAGGAAUUUGCAGUUUUCUGUUACAAGUCUGGCAAGCAAGUUUUUAAGGGUCACCAAUGGAUCCUCCUCCACCCCCAAGUACACCACUGUUGCCACCGGCUCCGCCUGCUGGAGGAUUCUUGGAUUCAUGUUUGUGGUUUCUGUGCUGCUGUGGUCUGUUUACAAGCUGCUGCCCUCCACUAUUUGAACCUGUGCCUCCUCCUCCAUAAAACUGCAUUUCUCAAUUACCCACCUUUCCUUGGAAUAGCUUUUGUGUAUGUGAAGUGAAAAACGUAGAUAGUUUAUAGACACUUUUAUCUUCCGAUUUGGUCCUGUGAUGUUAACAAAAAUUCAUGGAAUUCUUCCAUUUAAAAUUUCUUUUACAUUUUUGGAGUUUAAAAUUUGCCGAUCCAAUUAGUCUGAGAUUAAAACUUGAUUAUUGAUAUUAUUUUUGAGUUUGAAACCUUGUGAUAGUUGUUUGUCUAUUUUUUAAAAUAUAAUUGACUCUAAUGCCUUAUUAAUUGUUGUA
Hevea brasiliensis (rubber tree) is the source of this 2807-nucleotide RNA transcript. It is a transcript of the gene named receptor-like serine/threonine-protein kinase NCRK, with no coding region annotated. Lineage: Eukaryota; Viridiplantae; Streptophyta; Magnoliopsida; Malpighiales; Euphorbiaceae. The transcript is spliced from 14 exons. The record is from RefSeq and is a predicted model, not a curated record.